Long non-coding RNA from Drosophila sulfurigaster albostrigata, 842 nucleotides. RefSeq lists it as uncharacterized. The transcript is spliced from 2 exons. The record is from RefSeq and is a predicted model, not a curated record. NCBI's taxonomy places the organism in Eukaryota, Metazoa, Arthropoda, Insecta, Diptera, Drosophilidae.
CUUAUUUAAAUAUGAUAAUAGAAUUACACUUCUGAUGAACUCUAUUUUUAGCGAAUUUUCAGCUUAGUUUAACAUAACUCCGAAUGAAAGGAAAAAGGCGUCAAUGGUAUGCAGACAGCGCAGACAGAGCGGAUACUUCAUGGCAAAUUACCAAUGCAAAUUUCGCUGUCACACAAUAAAAUAAAAUAUAUAAAACAAAUCACAACGAACAAAACAAAACACACACAUUUUUACAGCAGCAUGUGCGUAUACGUAAUGUGAGAUGUGAGUAGUGCAGAUUCGAAUUACCUACAAAACACCCAUUGCUAAAUGCUUAUGGGCAAUAUUAUGGCAAACAUUUGCUGCUGCGUAUACUUGAUAUUAAUGAUAACUAGUUCACGUUGCAUAUGAUUAACAUACAUCGACAAAUUGUUUACUUGUUUGUCUACAGGGUAUCUGCAAGUGGCAGCAGCAUUUGUUAUUGUUUUUUUGGGUGGAAUUGUGAAUUGAAAGCUGAGCGCCAAGUUUAUUCCAGUUGAAGUUCAAGGUAAAAGCGUCAGUCGAAAACAGCAACAAAAAAACAGAAAUAACAGACACGCAAAAGAAUUAUCGUAUAUACGAAAUUAACACACAAACAAAAAAAGCACGCAGCCUUGACAAUAACACCCAACCGCCAAGACAAAAUACAAAUAAAAAUAAAUAAAAAAGCGUGCGUUGGCAAUGCACACGACUAAGCGAUGCUCUGUAAAGUGGAAAGAGAAAUGCACAAGAGGAAAGAAAUAUAUAUGAAUGUGAAUUGCUGAUAAAAUUGUGGAAGAAAAAUUGAAGCAACUUUUAGUUAAAGAAAAAUAUUUCAGUGUCAA